CAUGCAGUCGACGAUGACGGAGGAGCUUGCUCCUCCUGAUUAGUGGCGAACGGGUGAGUAAUACGUGAGCAAUGUGCCCUUGACUCUGGGAUAAGCGCUGGAAACGGCGUCUAAUACCGGAUACGACGAUCGGAGGCAUCUCCUGGUCGUGGAAAGAACUUCGGUCAAGGAUCAGCUCACGGCCUAUCAGUUAGUUGGUGAGGUAAUGGCUCACCAAGACGACGACGGGUAGCCGGCCUGAGAGGGUGACCGGCCACACUGGGACUGAGACACGGCCCAGACUCCUACGGGAGGCAGCAGUGGGGAAUAUUGCACAAUGGGCGCAAGCCUGAUGCAGCAACGCCGCGUGAGGGACGAAGGCCUUCGGGUUGUAAACCUCUUUUAGCAGGGAAGAAGCGAAAGUGACGGUACCUGCAGAAAAAGCACCGGCUAACUACGUGCCAGCAGCCGCGGUAAUACGUAGGGUGCAAGCGUUGUCCGGAAUUAUUGGGCGUAAAGAGCUCGUAGGCGGUUUGUCACGUCUGCUGUGAAAACCCGAGGCUCAACCUCGGGCUUGCAGUGGGUACGGGCAGACUAGAGUGCGGUAGGGGAGAUUGGAAUUCCUGGUGUAGCGGUGGAAUGCGCAGAUAUCAGGAGGAACACCGAUGGCGAAGGCAGAUCUCUGGGCCGUAACUGACGCUGAGGAGCGA
Molecule: ribosomal RNA, 689 nt
Filed under: uncultured bacterium
Lineage: Bacteria
Description: bacterial SSU rRNA
Rfam family: Bacterial small subunit ribosomal RNA
Source: RNAcentral